RNAcentral lists this unclassified non-coding RNA (329 nucleotides) under soil metagenome. RNAcentral's name for it is "partial contains 5.8S ribosomal RNA, internal transcribed spacer 2, and large subunit ribosomal RNA". The stretch from base 1 to 120 matches the Rfam family "5.8S ribosomal RNA", at positions 35 to 154 of the family's 154-position model. The record is from RNAcentral.
GAUGAAGAACGUAGCGAAAUGCGAUAAGUAAUGUGAAUUGCAGAAUUCAGUGAAUCAUCGAAUCUUUGAACGCACAUUGCGCCCCCUGGUAUUCCGGGAGGCAUGCCUGUCCGAGCGUCAUUACAACCCUCAAGCUCAGCUUGGUGUUGGGCCCCGCCGCCCCGGCGGGCCCUAAAGUCAGUGGCGGUGCCGUCCGGCUCCGAGCGUAGUAAUUCUUCUCGCUCUGGAGGUCCGGUCGUGUGCUCGCCAGCAACCCCCAAUUUUUUUCAGGUUGACCUCGGAUCAGGUAGGGAUACCCGCUGAACUUAAGCAUAUCAAUAAGCGGAGGA